Molecule: long non-coding RNA, 263 nt
Filed under: Sorghum bicolor (sorghum)
Lineage: Eukaryota; Viridiplantae; Streptophyta; Magnoliopsida; Poales; Poaceae
Description: long non-coding RNA (SBIC_LNC017552)
Source: RNAcentral
UGCUAAUCUUUCUUCUUAUCUAAUCCUUGAUCUCUGGUCUAUCAUGAAUUCAAACAUGUCUAUCUAUGAAUUUCAUAGACCUACGGGCACACAUCUCGAACCACCAAAAUCUUCAAAGCCUAUUAUAGCAUCUAGAUUUGAGAUAGACCCCGAAUACAUAGAAUUUGUUCAAAAACAACCUUUCUCAGGAGAAAGUGAGGAAAACCCAUACACCCACCUAAGAGAGUUUUAUCGAGUCUGUGACCUCCUUCGCAUAGAAGGAA